CUGACCUCUGACCCGUUUUCUGACCAGGAAUACCUGAUUCUGCCUCCCCCCUGUCUGCUUUAUCACCUAACCUUGUCUUGGCUCUCCAGUUCCCCACAGCCUCAGUGGACCUCUUUCCGCCCUCUCGGUGCGGAGAUCUCCCUGCUCCCUCUAUUCCUUCUGCCGGCUAGUGGGCGACGUGACCAGACCCGGUUUACCUGGACACAAUUCAC
Molecule: long non-coding RNA, 212 nt
Organism: Melanotaenia boesemani (Boeseman's rainbowfish)
Lineage: Eukaryota; Metazoa; Chordata; Actinopteri; Atheriniformes; Melanotaeniidae
Exons: 3
Source: RefSeq, a predicted model, not a curated record